CAGGGCCAGGUUUUUCUGGGAAGCAAUGAGCAGGGAUAUGAAGUAUGGGAAGGCCUGCCCCAGGGCAUCCGAGGGAACCGCUGGAAGGUCGGACUCACGGUCAUCACUCCGGAGCGGAAAUUCGUCUUCACCUGCCCCACGGAAAAGGAGCAGCGGGAAUGGCUGGAGAGUCUGCGGGGUGUCCUGUCCAGUCCCUUGUCGCCCCUCCACCUCCUCAGUGAGAAGUGGGGGGUGGGUGGGGAUUCCUUUGGGUGAGGGCAGA
RNAcentral lists this long non-coding RNA (262 nucleotides) under Rattus norvegicus (Norway rat). RNAcentral describes it as "long non-coding RNA NONRATT004640". Lineage: Eukaryota; Metazoa; Chordata; Mammalia; Rodentia; Muridae. The record is from RNAcentral.